GAUGAACGCUGGCGGCGUGCCUAAUACAUGCAAGUCGAGCGAACAGACGUGGAGCUUGCUCCUCUGACGUUAGCGGCGGACGGGUGAGUAACACGUGGAUAACCUACCUAUAAGACUGGGAUAACUUCGGGAAACCGGAGCUAAUACCGGAUAAUAUAUUGAACCGCAUGGUUCAAUAGUGAAAGACGGUUUUGCUGUCACUUAUAGAUGGAUCCGCGCCGCAUUAGCUAGUUGGUAAGGUAACGGCUUACCAAGGCAACGAUGCGUAGCCGACCUGAGAGGGUGAUAGGCCACACUGGAACUGAGACACGGUCCAGACUCCUACGGGAGGCAGCAGUAGGGAAUCUUCCGCAAUGGGCGAAAGCCUGACGGAGCAACGCCGCGUGAGUGAUGAAGGUCUUCGGAUCGUAAAACUCUGUUAUUAGGGAAGAACAAAUGUGUAAGUAACUAUGCACGUCUUGACGGUACCUAAUCAGAAAGCCACGGCUAACUACGUG
RNAcentral lists this ribosomal RNA (497 nucleotides) under uncultured bacterium. Its description in RNAcentral is "partial 16S ribosomal RNA". It matches the Rfam family "Bacterial small subunit ribosomal RNA", at positions 28 to 507 of the family's 1533-position model. The record is from RNAcentral.